CUCAACAUGGAGUAGAAGAUCAAUACUCAAGAACUACACUCGACAAGACAACCAAUGCUGGAACACAUGACCUGCAAAUGAAGGUGGUAGCUAUGAUGGAACAACCUUGAUGAAAUAAAUCACCCGCAAGUUAAGGUUACACUGUUUUUGUACUUUCCAUAUUAUUUGUGGUGUUUUUGUUAAAAUGAAUUAUAGCUUGCAAAGCGCAAAUACCCGAAGACAAUGUUAAGA
This 231-nucleotide long non-coding RNA is filed under the name Helianthus annuus (common sunflower). RNAcentral's name for it is "sRNA HanXRQr2_Chr14g0642931". Lineage: Eukaryota; Viridiplantae; Streptophyta; Magnoliopsida; Asterales; Asteraceae. The record is from RNAcentral.